AAAUUGAAGAGUUUGAUCAUGGCUCAGAUUGAACGCUGGCGGCAGGCCUAACACAUGCAAGUCGAACGGUAACAGGAAGCAGCUUGCUGCUUUGCUGACGAGUGGCGGACGGGUGAGUAAUGUCUGGGAAACUGCCUGAUGGAGGGGGAUAACUACUGGAAACGGUGGCUAAUACCGCAUAACGUCGCAAGACCAAAGAGGGGGACCUUCGGGCCUCUUGCCAUCAGAUGUGCCCAGAUGGGAUUAGCUUGUUGGUGAGGUAACGGCUCACCAAGGCGACGAUCCCUAGCUGGUCUGAGAGGAUGACCAGCCACACUGGAACUGAGACACGGUCCAGACUCCUACGGGAGGCAGCAGUGGGGAAUAUUGCACAAUGGGCGCAAGCCUGAUGCAGCCAUGCCGCGUGUAUGAAGAAGGCCUUCGGGUUGUAAAGUACUUUCAGCGGGGAGGAAGGUGUUGUGGUUAAUAACCGCAGCAAUUGACGUUACCCGCAGAAGAAGCACCGGCUAACUCCGUGCCAGCAGCCGCGGUAAUACGGAGGGUGCAAGCGUUAAUCGGAAUUACUGGGCGUAAAGCGCACGCAGGCGGUCUGUCAAGUCGGAUGUGAAAUCCCCGGGCUCAACCUGGGAACUGCAUUCGAAACUGGCAGGCUUGAGUCUUGUAGAGGGGGGUAGAAUUCCAGGUGUAGCGGUGAAAUGCGUAGAGAUCUGGAGGAAUACCGGUGGCGAAGGCGGCCCCCUGGACAAAGACUGACGCUCAGGUGCGAAAGCGUGGGGAGCAAACAGGAUUAGAUACCCUGGUAGUCCACGCCGUAAACGAUGUCUACUUGGAGGUUGUGCCCUUGAGGCGUGGCUUCCGGAGCUAACGCGUUAAGUAGACCGCCUGGGGAGUACGGCCGCAAGGUUAAAACUCAAAUGAAUUGACGGGGGCCCGCACAAGCGGUGGAGCAUGUGGUUUGAUUCGAUGCAACGCGAAGAACCUUACCUGGUCUUGACAUCCACAGAACUUUCCAGAGAUGGAUUGGUGCCUUCGGGAACUGUGAGACAGGUGCUGCAUGGCUGUCGUCAGCUCGUGUUGUGAAAUGUUGGGUUAAGUCCCGCAACGAGCGCAACCCUUAUCCUUUGUUGCCAGCGAUUCGGUCGGGAACUCAAAGGAGACUGCCAGUGAUAAACUGGAGGAAGGUGGGGAUGACGUCAAGUCAUCAUGGCCCUUACGACCAGGGCUACACACGUGCUACAAUGGCGCAUACAAAGAGAAGCGACCUCGCGAGAGCAAGCGGACCUCAUAAAGUGCGUCGUAGUCCGGAUUGGAGUCUGCAACUCGACUCCAUGAAGUCGGAAUCGCUAGUAAUCGUGGAUCAGAAUGCCACGGUGAAUACGUUCCCGGGCCUUGUACACACCGCCCGUCACACCAUGGGAGUGGGUUGCAAAAGAAGUAGGUAGCUUAACCUUCGGGAGGGCGCUUACCACUUUGUGAUUCAUGACUGGGGUGAAGUCGUAACAAGGUAACCGUAGGGGAACCUGCGGUUGGAUCACCUCCUUACCUUAAAGAA
This 1552-nucleotide ribosomal RNA is filed under the name Salmonella enterica subsp. enterica serovar Worthington. RNAcentral describes it as "bacterial SSU rRNA". It matches the Rfam family "Bacterial small subunit ribosomal RNA". The record is from RNAcentral. Lineage: Bacteria; Pseudomonadati; Pseudomonadota; Gammaproteobacteria; Enterobacterales; Enterobacteriaceae.